This 510-nucleotide ribosomal RNA is filed under the name uncultured bacterium. Its description in RNAcentral is "partial 16S ribosomal RNA". It matches the Rfam family "Bacterial small subunit ribosomal RNA", at positions 28 to 507 of the family's 1533-position model. The record is from RNAcentral.
GACGAACGCUGGCGGCGUGCUUAACACAUGCAAGUCGAACGAAGAGCGAUGGAAGCUUGCUUCUAUCAAUCUUAGUGGCGAACGGGUGAGUAACGCGUAAUCAACCUGCCCUUCAGAGGGGGACAACAGUUGGAAACGACUGCUAAUACCGCAUACGAUCUAAUCUCGGCAUCGAGGAUAGAUGAAAGGUGGCCUCUACAUGUAAGCUAUCACUGAAGGAGGGGAUUGCGUCUGAUUAGCUAGUUGGGGGGGUAACGGCCCACCAAGGCGAUGAUCAGUAGCCGGUCUGAGAGGAUGAACGGCCACAUUGGGACUGAGACACGGCCCAGACUCCUACGGGAGGCAGCAGUGGGGAAUCUUCCGCAAUGGACGAAAGUCUGACGGAGCAACGCCGCGUGAGUGAUGACGGCCUUCGGGUUGUAAAGCUCUGUUAAUCGGGACGAAAGGCCUUCUUGCGAAUAGUGAGAAGGAUUGACGGUACCGGAAGAGAAAGCCACGGCUAACUACGUG